UAGGGAAUCUUCCGCAAUGGGCGAAAGUUUGACGGAGCAACGCCGCGUGAGUGAUGAAGGUCUUCGGAUCGUAAAACUCUGUUAUUAGGGAAGAACAAAUGUGUAAGUAACUAUGCACGUCUUGACGGUACCUAAUCAGAAAGCCACGGCUAACUACGUGCCAGCAGCCGCGGUAAUACGUAGGUGGCAAGCGUUAUCCGGAAUUAUUGGGCGUAAAGCGCGCGUAGGCGGUUUUUUAAGUCUGAUGUGAAAGCCCACGGCUCAACCGUGGAGGGUCAUUGGAAACUGGAAAACUUGAGUGCAGAAGAGGAAAGUGGAAUUCCAUGUGUAGCGGUGAAAUGCGCAGAGAUAUGGAGGAACACCAGUGGCGAAGGCGACUUUCUGGUCUGUAACUGACGCUGAUGUGCGAAAGCGUGGGGAUCAAACAGG
RNAcentral lists this ribosomal RNA (429 nucleotides) under Actinomycetes bacterium. Its description in RNAcentral is "Actinobacteria bacterium partial 16S ribosomal RNA". It matches the Rfam family "Bacterial small subunit ribosomal RNA", at positions 355 to 776 of the family's 1533-position model. Lineage: Bacteria; Bacillati; Actinomycetota; Actinomycetes. The record is from RNAcentral.